GAUGAACGCUGGCGGCGCGCCUAACACAUGCAAGUCGAACGGCACCCCUCCUCGGAGGGAAGCGAGUGGCGAACGGCUGAGUAACACGUGGAGAACCUGCCCCCUCCCCCGGGAUAGCCGCCCGAAAGGACGGGUAAUACCGGAUACCCCGGGGUGCCGCAUGGCACCCCGGCUAAAGCCCCGACGGGAGGGGAUGGCUCCGCGGCCCAUCAGGUAGACGGCGGGGUGACGGCCCACCGUGCCGACAACGGGUAGCCGGGUUGAGAGACCGACCGGCCAGAUUGGGACUGAGACACGGCCCAGACUCCUACGGGAGGCAGCAGUGGGGAAUCUUGCGCAAUGGGGGGAACCCUGACGCAGCGACGCCGCGUGCGGGACGGAGGCCCUCGGGUCGUAAACCGCUUUCAGCAGGGAAGAGUCAAGACUGUACCUGCAGAAGAAGCCCCGGCUAACUACGUG
RNAcentral lists this ribosomal RNA (459 nucleotides) under uncultured bacterium. RNAcentral's name for it is "partial 16S ribosomal RNA". It matches the Rfam family "Bacterial small subunit ribosomal RNA", at positions 28 to 507 of the family's 1533-position model. The record is from RNAcentral.